Molecule: ribosomal RNA, 560 nt
Filed under: Dirkmeia churashimaensis
Lineage: Eukaryota; Fungi; Basidiomycota; Ustilaginomycetes; Ustilaginales; Ustilaginaceae
Description: partial large subunit ribosomal RNA
Rfam family: Eukaryotic large subunit ribosomal RNA
Source: RNAcentral
UGAAAGCUGGCGUCUUCGGCGUCCGCAUUGUAAUCUCAAGAAGUGUUUUCCGCUUCGGACCAUGCCUAAGUCCCUUGGAAAAGGGCAUCAUAGAGGGUGAUAAUCCCGUACAUGGCAUGGAGCGCCCGAAGCUUUGUGAUACGCUUUCUAAGAGUCGAGUUGUUUGGGAAUGCAGCUCAAAAUGGGUGGUAAAUGCCAUCUAAGGCUAAAUAUUGGGGAGAGACCGAUAGCGAACAAGUACAGUGAUGGAAAGAUGAAAAGAACUUUGAAAAGAGAGUUAAACAGUACGUGAAAUUGCCAAAAGGGAAGGGUAGGAGGUCAGAGAUGCGGCCUGGGAUUCAGCCUUGCUUUUGCUUGGUGUUUUUCCCAGAUUGCAGGCCAACGUCGGUUUUGGGCACUGGAGAAGGGUAGGAGGAACGUGGCACCUCUCGGGGUGUGUUAUAGCCUCCUACUGGAUACAGCGACCGAGACCGAGGACAGCAGCGUACUCGCAAGAGCGGGCCUUCGGGCACCUUUACGCUUAGGGCGUUGGCAUAAUGGCCCUCUACCACCCGUCUUGA